AGUUAGCUGGGACACCCUGUAUUCAGAAAUGAAACAGGAGAGCUAGGAUAUGAUUUCUUUCUAACUUAGUUUUUUUUUUGUAACUGUGUGUUUCAGAAGAAUAAUGACAGUUUGGUUAUUUCCCAUACGACAGAAAACCCCGCUAUCGUGACGGACAAAGGUCACCGAGUAUCAGCCUCUCUGAAAGUGGCCAUGUGUGACACGAUUCUCGUAAUCUGUAGAAGCCCAUAGAUUUUCACAAUGCCGCUGCACCUCGGGACACACGAUUGACACGAAGAACAGAAAGUGUUCAUAACGAGCAAAGAAGGGUUCGCAACGUGUGUAUGAUAACCGAUAAGCGGGUCCAUUUCUACUGGCCGAUGAAACUGCGCAUACUGUGUAUAAAUACCACCUAAUGCGCUAUGCUGAUGAAUCGACACGGCGAAGCCGGCAGUAACCAUGAGAGCCUCCCUCCUCGUGUCCAUUCUCGUCGUCGUCAUCGGAUGCGCAGUUGCCCAGCGAGGAUGGCAAAUACGGCCGCUUCGCUGUGGUCCUGGAGAAAUUUGGAAGGUCUGCGAAAGCAGCUCCUGCGGUGAAGAAAAGUGCGAUGUACGAGGUCCUAGGCCCUGCACAGCUGAUUGCCAGACCAGAUGCUUCUGCAAGAGUGGCUACUACCGGCGACGUGCCGACAACAAAUGUGUCCGGCUUAGCCAAUGCUAGGCCUCUUCGUGAGAGCGACGGUACUACUCUGCCAACUUACGAGAAUUAUUAAAUGAGAGCGAUGAAUAAAACUUCCAAUGUUGAAACAGUG
RNAcentral lists this long non-coding RNA (790 nucleotides) under Dermacentor andersoni. RNAcentral's name for it is "uncharacterized LOC126525648". The record is from RNAcentral. Lineage: Eukaryota; Metazoa; Arthropoda; Arachnida; Ixodida; Ixodidae.